Molecule: ribosomal RNA, 1343 nt
Filed under: uncultured bacterium
Lineage: Bacteria
Description: 16S ribosomal RNA
Rfam family: Bacterial small subunit ribosomal RNA
Source: RNAcentral
GACGAACGCUGGCGGCGUGCUUAACACAUGCAAGUCGAACGGAAAGGCCCUGCUUUUGUGGGGUGCUCGAGUGGCGAACGGGUGAGUAACACGUGAGUAACCUGCCCUUGACUUUGGGAUAACUUCAGGAAACUGGGGCUAAUACCGGAUAGGAGCUCCUGCUGCAUGGUGGGGGUUGGAAAGUUUCGGCGGUUGGGGAUGGACUCGCGGCUUAUCAGCUUGUUGGUGGGGUAGUGGCUUACCAAGGCUUUGACGGGUAGCCGGCCUGAGAGGGUGACCGGCCACAUUGGGACUGAGAUACGGCCCAGACUCCUACGGGAGGCAGCAGUGGGGAAUAUUGCACAAUGGGCGGAAGCCUGAUGCAGCAACGCCGCGUGCGGGAUGACGGCCUUCGGGUUGUAAACCGCUUUCGCCUGUGACGAAGCGUGAGUGACGGUAAUGGGUAAAGAAGCACCGGCUAACUACGUGCCAGCAGCCGCGGUGAUACGUAGGGUGCGAGCGUUGUCCGGAUUUAUUGGGCGUAAAGGGCUCGUAGGUGGUUGAUCGCGUCGGAAGUGUAAUCUUGGGGCUUAACCCUGAGCGUGCUUUCGAUACGGGUUGACUUGAGGAAGGUAGGGGAGAAUGGAAUUCCUGGUGGAGCGGUGGAAUGCGCAGAUAUCAGGAGGAACACCAGUGGCGAAGGCGGUUCUCUGGGCCUUUCCUGACGCUGAGGAGCGAAAGCGUGGGGAGCGAACAGGCUUAGAUACCCUGGUAGUCCACGCUGUAAACGGUGGGUACUAGGUGUGGGGUCCAUUCCACGGGUUCCGUGCCGUAGCUAACGCUUUAAGUACCCCGCCUGGGGAGUACGGCCGCAAGGCUAAAACUCAAAGGAAUUGACGGGGCCCCGCACAAGCGGCGGAGCAUGCGGAUUAAUUCGAUGCAACGCGUAGAACCUUACCUGGGUUUGACAUGGAUCGGGAGUGCUCAGAGAUGGGUGUGCCUCUUUUGGGGUCGGUUCACAGGUGGUGCAUGCCUGUCGUCAGCUCGUGUCGUGAGAUGUUGGGUUAAGUCCCGCAACGAGUGCAACCCUUGUUCACUGUUGCCAGCACGUUAUGGUGGGGACUCAGUGGAGACCGCCGGGGUCAACUCGGAGGAAGGUGGGGAUGACGUCAAGUCAUCAUGCCCCUUAUGUCCAGGGCUUCACGCAUGCUACAAUGGCUGGUACAGAGAGUGGCGAGCCUGUGAGGGUGAGCGAAUCUCGGAAAGCCGGUCUCAGUUCGGAUUGGGGUCUGCAACUCGACCUCAUGAAGUCGGAGUCGCUAGUAAUCGCAGAUCAGCAACGCUGCGGUGAAUACGUUCCCGGG